This 496-nucleotide ribosomal RNA is filed under the name uncultured bacterium. RNAcentral describes it as "partial 16S ribosomal RNA". It matches the Rfam family "Bacterial small subunit ribosomal RNA", at positions 28 to 507 of the family's 1533-position model. The record is from RNAcentral.
GAUGAACGCUGGCGGCGUGCCUAAUACAUGCAAGUCGAGCGAACAGACGAGGAGCUUGCUCCUUUGACGUUAGCGGCGGACGGGUGAGUAACACGUAGGUAACCUACCUAUAAGACUGGGAUAACUUCGGGAAACCGGAGCUAAUACCGGAUAAUAUUUCGAACCGCAUGGUUCGAUAGUGAAAGAUGGCUUUGCUAUCACUUAUAGAUGGACCUGCGCCGUAUUAGCUAGUUGGUAAGGAACGGCUUACCAAGGCAACGAUACGUAGCCGACCUGAGAGGGUGAUCGGCCGCACUGGAACUGAGACACGGUCCAGACUCCUACGGGAGGCAGCAGUAGGGAAUCUUCCGCAAUGGGCGAAAGCCUGACGGAGCAACGCCGCGUGAGUGAUGAAGGUCUUCGGAUCGUAAAACUCUGUUAUUAGGGAAGAACAAACGUGUAAGUAACUGUGCACGUCUUGACGGUACCUAAUCAGAAAGCCACGGCUAACUACGUG